UUAUGAUUGGUUUUGCCUGUUUUAUAAUUUUGUGUAAAUGACAAAAUAUCAUACAAGUUAUUUCAUCAGUAAAAUGGUUUUGCUAUUCAUUUAUACUGAGUACCUCAAUAGCUUAUGCCAUAUUAUUGCUGAGAAGUAUUACCUUUACAGAAAUUUGUUAUAAUUUAUCUAUUCUAAUACUGAUGGACAUUGUGUUAUUUCCAGGUUUUGAUUAUUAUGAAUCCAGUUUUUAUCAACUUUGAUGUCCAAAUUGUCUUGUGGACAUGUAUUUUCAUUUUUCUUUAGUAAAUGCCUAGGAGUGGAAUUUAGGUAUCACGUAAUAAAGGGUAGAUUUAACUUUAUAGAAACUGACAAGCAGUUUGCCAAACUGGUUGAACCAUUUUACAAUCCUUUGAGGCUUGUGUGAGUUCUAGUGUUUUCACAAACUCACAGAUACUUGAUGGUGCCAACUGUCAUAAUUACUGCCAUUUUAAAUGGGUGAUUACUGAUAUCUCAUUGACUCCCUAUUUUAGUAACGUCUAGGGAAAUGUUCUCAUAUAUUAAUAUAAAACAUUUUCUAAAUUUUUAUUUCCUACUAAUCAAUUGAUGAUACCUUGAUCAUUUAUGCAAAAUAUAUUAAUGUGUAUAUGCAUUAAAGUCUCAUUUUAAUUAUAGCAAUUUAUAAAAUUAAGUCUAUCUUCUUAUAUUUCUUGAUGAUAAACAAUCUUUAUUUCUGCUAAAUUAGAGCUACCACUUUUUUAGCACUUACUACAUCUCAGAUGCUUUUCUAAGUGAACACAUAUUAAAUCAAUUACCAAAACAAACCGAGUCAUAGUGAGGUUAAGAAAGUUGCCUAAAUAUUUCAGCCUAAAUGUUGGAGCCAAGAUUCACAUUCAGCCUUGUUUGAAAAUCCAUUUCUUUACACAUAUGCUAGUUUUAUUCUUAAGUUUUUGAAGUUCUCUUUGUGUGCCAAAUUUUAAGUUACCUAAGUUUGGCCAAAGAGACAAAUAGUAUAAGUAGAAGAAAGAAGCAAAGAAGGAUACCUAUAAAUAAAGAAAAAUAUAAUUUAAGUGAGAAGUAGUUGAUUUCCUUUUCAUAAUGCAUGUUUUAUAAUAUCUGUAGGAAUAAUGCUUUGAGUUAAAAUGAAAUUUCUUAUUGAGAAAAUAUAAAUGGUUCAAAGAGAGUAUUUUAAAUCCCCCCAAAAUACAGAAAACAUUUUUUUUUUCUUUUUAGGGUCAUACCCACAGCAUAUGGAGGUUCCCAGGCUAGGGGUCUAAUCAGAGCGACAUCUGCCAGCCUCCACCACAGCAAUACAGUAUCCAAGCUGCAUCUGUAACCUACACAACAGCUCACCACAAUGCUGGAUCCUUAACCCAUUGAGGGAGGCCAGGGAUUGAACCCGCAACCUCAUGGUUACUAGUCAGAUUUGUUUCAGCUGCACCACGAUGGACACUCCCCAAAUAAUUAAUUUCUGAUAUAAAAAAUUAAGCAAAUGAAAUUUAAAGAUAACACCAACUUUAUAAUGUCUUUUUCCAGUGGACUCUUAAGCCAAGAAAAUUAAUAUCUAAAUAAAAAGUAAAGCCAGGAAUACAAGUUGUAGGUAUCACUAAAUAUUUAAUAGUUUUUGAACCGGAAAAUUUACAAAACAAUAGAUUUGAUGAGCAUUUUGACAUUUAAAAAUUAUCAUGUAAAAAAGAGUUCCCAUCGUGGCUCAGCAGAAAUGAAUACAACUAGGAACCAUGAGGUUGUGGGUUCAAUCGCUGGCAGACUUGCUCAGUGGGUUAAGGAUCCAGUGCCACCUUGAGCUGUGGUGUAGGUCACAGAUGCAGCUCAGAUCUGACAUUGCUGUGGCUCUGGCAUAGGCUGGUGGCUACAGCUCCAAUUCUAUCCCUAGUCUGGGAACCUCCAUUUCUCUACAGGGAAAUGUGAAGAAUGAUGAACUUAUGUUCCCUUAACUAUGAUUUUAUCAUAAUUAUAAAUACUGCAUGGAUUGUUAUUAUUGUCUUAUAGUCAUUAGGGUCACCUAGAAGUUAGGCAAAAUAGAUAAUACCUUAACACUUAAAAAAAAAAAAAAAGAGUGUGAAGCUUCAGAUAUCCAUAGAUACAGACUUAAAAAUCUUGAUGAUAUAAGCCACAAUUCUUCCCUGGAGAUUUAAAUAGGUUUUGCUUUAUUUAACCUUUGCUUCUGGGUUCCUAUGGCAUCUCAGCAUCACCCAUGGUUAGCAAGAAUAGACAGUGAAUGUUGUUACCUCUUAGAUGUUGGGAGCUCAUGGGAGAGAGUAGAACAUAUAUGCUACUUAAUCCACUUCUACAGUGCCUUCUGACAUUUAGUUUGGGUAAAGGGACUCACCCUGACAUGAAAUUGUCCUUUAUAAAAUUUAGCUCUGUGGGCUACGAAGAACAAUCUGAACCAUAAUUGACCAAAGUUCUACAGUCAUGAGAGCUGCUCUAUACCACGUCAAUCUCAGCAGUCAUGGGGGUAUUUUCCCAUUGUCCCAAAUCUGAGACAAAUCCUGUCCCCUCCAGUCUGUCUUCUUUUCUGUUCUCCGACUUCAGACACAUACAUAAACAUGACCAGGAAAAUAAGAACAUAGUCCUCCUAGCAGUAACUGCCUCAUCUGGAAAUGAGAAAUUAAAACAAUAAAAAAAUUUAGCUGAUAAUUGUUAAACACUCACAAAAAAUCUCAGACACUCUGCUAAAUACUUCAUGUAUCUUAUUUAAUCCUCACAAGAGCCACUGCCAGGGAGAAGAAACUGAAGUUCUAAGAGGGAGAAUUAAUCAUGAAGAUCACACAGGUGACAAGCAGCAGAGCAUGGAUGAGAAUCCACAGUCUCUCUGACCUCAAAGCAUAUAAUCAUUUUUUGAAUGGGUUGUUUGGUUUUUUGAUUUGAGCUGCAUAAGUUAUUUGUAGAUUUUGGAGAUUAAUCCCUUGUCAAUUGCUUCAUUUGCAAAUAUUUUCUCCUAUUGUGUGGGCUGUCUUUCCAUUUUGUUUAUGGUUUCCUCUGCUGUGCAAAAACUUUUAAGUUUAAAGUCCAUUUGUUUAUAUUAUUCUAAGUGAAGUUGGACAUGAAAGAUAAACAUCAUAUGAUACCAUUUACAUGUGGAAUCUUAAAAAAAAAAAAAAA
Molecule: long non-coding RNA, 3105 nt
Filed under: Sus scrofa (pig)
Lineage: Eukaryota; Metazoa; Chordata; Mammalia; Artiodactyla; Suidae
Description: lncRNA (ENSSSCG00030020901.1)
Source: RNAcentral